This 508-nucleotide ribosomal RNA is filed under the name uncultured bacterium. RNAcentral describes it as "partial 16S ribosomal RNA". It matches the Rfam family "Bacterial small subunit ribosomal RNA", at positions 28 to 523 of the family's 1533-position model. The record is from RNAcentral.
GAUGAACGCUAGCUACAGGCUUAACACAUGCAAGUCGAGGGGAAACGAUAUUGGAAGCUUGCUUCCGAUAGGCGUCGACCGGCGCACGGGUGAGUAACGCGUAUCCAACCUGUCCAUCACUUGGGGAUAACCUUGCGAAAGUAAGACUAAUACCCAAUGAUAUCUCAAGAAGACAUCUGAAUGAGAUUAAAGAUUUACCGGUGAUGGAUGGGGAUGCGUCUGAUUAGCUUGUUGGCGGGGUAACGGCCCACCAAGGCGACGAUCAGUAGGGGUUCUGAGAGGAAGGUCCCCCACAUUGGAACUGAGACACGGUCCAAACUCCUACGGGAGGCAGCAGUGAGGAAUAUUGGUCAAUGGGCGAGAGCCUGAACCAGCCAAGUAGCGUGCAGGAUGACGGCCCUAUGGGUUGUAAACUGCUUUUAUAAGGGAAUAAAGUGAGCCUCGUGAGGCUUUUUGCAUGUACCUUAUGAAUAAGGACCGGCUAAUUCCGUGCCAGCAGCCGCGGUAA